Molecule: ribosomal RNA, 374 nt
Filed under: uncultured organism
Description: partial 16S ribosomal RNA
Rfam family: Bacterial small subunit ribosomal RNA
Source: RNAcentral
GGGACGGGGGCUAGCGUUGUUCGGAAUUAUUGGGCUUAAAGCGUACGUAGGGCGGGAUGGAAGGUGUCUUGUGAAAGCCCUCGGCUCAACCGAGGAACUGCUGGGCAAACCACCACUCUUGAGGUCAGCAGGGGUACCUGGAACUUUGGGUGGAGCGGUGAAAUGCGUAGAUAUCCAAGGGAACGCCGGUGGCGAAAGCGGGGUACUGGGCUGAUUCUGACGCUGAGGUACGAAAGCGUGGGUAGCAAACAGGAUUAGAUACCCUGGUAGUCCACGCCGUAAACGAUGCGCACUAGGUAUCAGCGCCUCUGACGGGGUUGGUGCCGUAGCAAAAGCGAUAAGUGCGCCGCCUGGGGAGUACGGCCGCAAGGCUA